Molecule: ribosomal RNA, 476 nt
Filed under: bacterium 2611-S4-01-2.2
Lineage: Bacteria
Description: bacterial SSU rRNA
Rfam family: Bacterial small subunit ribosomal RNA
Source: RNAcentral
AAGUCGAGCGGAACGAGUUAUCUGAACCUUCGGGGGGCGAUAACGGCGUCGAGCGGCGGACGGGUGAGUAAUGCCUAGGAAAUUGCCCUGAUGUGGGGGAUAACCAUUGGAAACGAUGGCUAAUACCGCAUGAUGCCUACGGGCCAAAGAGGGGGACCUUCGGGCCUCUCGCGUCAGGAUAUGCCUAGGUGGGAUUAGCUAGUUGGUGAGGUAAGGGCUCACCAAGGCGACGAUCCCUAGCUGGUCUGAGAGGAUGAUCAGCCACACUGGAACUGAGACACGGUCCAGACUCCUACGGGAGGCAGCAGUGGGGAAUAUUGCACAAUGGGCGCAAGCCUGAUGCAGCCAUGCCGCGUGUGUGAAGAAGGCCUUCGGGUUGUAAAGCACUUUCAGUCGUGAGGAAGGUGGUGUAGUUAAUAGCUGCAUUAUUUGACGUUAGCGACAGAAGAAGCACCGGCUAACUCCGUGCCAGCCGC